RNAcentral lists this ribosomal RNA (371 nucleotides) under Pantoea sp. RNAcentral describes it as "bacterial SSU rRNA". It matches the Rfam family "Bacterial small subunit ribosomal RNA", at positions 1033 to 1404 of the family's 1533-position model. Lineage: Bacteria; Pseudomonadati; Pseudomonadota; Gammaproteobacteria; Enterobacterales; Erwiniaceae. The record is from RNAcentral.
GACAGGUGCUGCAUGGCUGUCGUCAGCUCGUGUUGUGAAAUGUUGGGUUAAGUCCCGCAACGAGCGCAACCCUUAUCCUUUGUUGCCAGCGAUUCGGUCGGGAACUCAAAGGAGACUGCCGGUGAUAAACCGGAGGAAGGUGGGGAUGACGUCAAGUCAUCAUGGCCCUUACGAGUAGGGCUACACACGUGCUACAAUGGCGCAUACAAAGAGAAGCGACCUCGCGAGAGCAAGCGGACCUCACAAAGUGCGUCGUAGUCCGGAUCGGAGUCUGCAACUCGACUCCGUGAAGUCGGAAUCGCUAGUAAUCGUGGAUCAGAAUGCCACGGUGAAUACGUUCCCGGGCCUUGUACACACCGCCCGUCACACCA